UAGUGGUAUUUAGUUCACUUUAAGCUUUCUUUGUCAUGAAGGAUGGUCUUUAUCGCCAAGUAGGGAUGGCAAAGUAGCCCAUAAAAACAUGACCCGCCCAACCCACUCAAGUUUGUGCAGGUCCUUAACCCGCUCAAAUUAGUUUCUCAACUCAUUUUGACCCGCCCAAUUCAGCCCAAAUUGACUCGAGAGAAAUCUUAUCAGAAUAUUUUUCAAAAGAGAUAUUCUUUUGUUAGACAUGUUAUAUAAGCCAUAGAAAAGAAAGAAUUUUUUUAUUAGGUACUUAAAAAAUAUGCCCCACUUUUGGGCAGGCUGGGCUAUGGCCCGUUUCUUAGCCCAU
Molecule: long non-coding RNA, 340 nt
Organism: Lycium ferocissimum
Lineage: Eukaryota; Viridiplantae; Streptophyta; Magnoliopsida; Solanales; Solanaceae
Exons: 2
Source: RefSeq, a predicted model, not a curated record